Molecule: ribosomal RNA, 371 nt
Filed under: uncultured bacterium
Lineage: Bacteria
Description: bacterial SSU rRNA
Rfam family: Bacterial small subunit ribosomal RNA
Source: RNAcentral
UCUGCCCUGCACUUCGGGAUAAGCCUGGGAAACUGGGUCUAAAUACCGGAUUAGGGACUCCUGGCUUCAUGGUUGGGGGGUGUAAAGCUUUUGCGGUGUGGGAUGGGCCCGCGGCCUAUCAGCUUGUUGGUGGGGUAAUGGCCUACCAAGGCGACACGGGUAGCCGGCCUGAGAGGGUGACCGGCCACACUGGGACUGAGAUACGGCCCAGACUCCUACGGGAGGCAGCAGUGGGGAAUAUUGCACAAUGGGCGCAAGCCUGAUGCAGCGACGCCGCGUGAGGGAUGACGGCCUUCGGGUUGUAAACCUCUUUCAAUAGGGACGAAGCGCAAGUGACGGUACCUAUAGAAGAAGGACCGGCCAACUACGUG